GGAGAGCUUUACAUUUACCUGAAGUUGACAUACUAUCCUGAUGUUACUCCUGAUGAUUAUCAUCCACAUGGGUUUGUGUAAGCACAGCCAAACGCAUUUAAAUUUGCUGGUGAAGAUUCACUGAAAUUCAUCAUUGGACAAGUUCACACU
Molecule: long non-coding RNA, 150 nt
Organism: Corticium candelabrum
Lineage: Eukaryota; Metazoa; Porifera; Homoscleromorpha; Homosclerophorida; Plakinidae
Exons: 3
Source: RefSeq, a predicted model, not a curated record